RNAcentral lists this long non-coding RNA (2552 nucleotides) under Sus scrofa (pig). RNAcentral's name for it is "lncRNA (ENSSSCG00000059650.1)". Lineage: Eukaryota; Metazoa; Chordata; Mammalia; Artiodactyla; Suidae. The record is from RNAcentral.
AAUGGGAUCAUAAGGUUAUAAGAGAGGAAAUUAUUUGGGAUAGUGGUGUUAGGCACCUCUUCCCUUCGGCUUUUUAGCGUCUUUGGUUAGAGAAAAUCUAGUGAGGACGAGGUUACUGGAACAUAUUAAAUGGCCAAACUGUUCCGUGGCAUAGAUUGUAUUCCUAGAUGUGGCCAAUAACCUACCUCAUUCAUUCAGUGUCAAUUCAUUCACUUAGUCAAUUAGAUGCCAGAGAUGAAAAAAAUAUUAAUACUAAGUAGCAAUUUUUAAGCACUUGGGUGCCAGGCACUGUGAGCUUUGUGUUUUCUAGACAGGAUCUCAUUCGAUCCGUACAAUUGCUUAAUGUAAAUAUGUUGUUAUAGCCGUUUAAUAUGAGGAAAUGGAUACUUGAGCACAUUAAGGAACUCACCAAAGGAAGAAGUGAAAAGGAGCCAGGAUUCAAUCUCAGGCAAUAUGAGUCCAUAUCAAACUAGGGAAUUCUCAUUCCCAGGAAACGUGUACCUCAAUGGGGGGGGGGGGGUCAGACACCAAAGGUUAAUAACCUAAUGUGCAUCCACUUAUUAUUUGAUCAUAAUAAUUAAUCGGUCAUUAUACAAUUGUGAUAAGGACUGAGAAGAGGGAUUGAGGACAAUUAGAUUCUGUUGAGACAUCAGAGAAUGCCUCCCUGAGGAAGUGACACCUAAGCUGAGACACAAAAGUUUAGGAUUUGGGUAAAAAGUGGGAAAGGUAGUGAGCUUUCCAGGUGAAGGGAUUUGUCCCAUAAAAAAUUUAAAAAAUGAAUAAUAGGAGAAGACAACAUUUAUUGAUGGAUUAAUAAUAACGAGAUUAUAGUAAAUCCUUCAUAAGGCUUAUCUCUUUUAAUUUACACAGAAACUCUUUGAAAUCGAUAUUAUUAUUUCUCCUAUUUUACCCAUGCAGACACUGACACUGGGUAUAGUUAAGGGAUGUAACCAAAGCCAUAAUCCAGUUAGGGUAGGACAGGGCCUGGACUUCUGCAGUCUAGCUAGAAUUUAUAUUUUCAGUUACAAUUUGUUUUAAGUGGGAAGGAGACUUGUGCAUACUUGUUGGGGGUUGAAUAAUGUUGCCACAAAAUUCAUGUCUACCCAAACUUGGGAAUUCCCUGUUGUGUCUCAGCAGUAACGAAACCGACUAGCAUUCCUGAGGACCCAGAUUCAAUCCCUGGCCUUGCUCAGUGGGUUAAGGAUCCAGCAUUGCCCUCAGCUGGGGUGUAGGUCACAGACGUGGAUCAGAUCCUGUGCUGCUGUGGCUGUGGUGUAGGGCAGCAGCUGCAGCUCCAAUUCAACCCCUAGCCUGGGAACCUCUGUAUGCCACAGGUGCAGCCCUAAAAAGAAAAAAUAAAUAAAUAAAAGAAAGAAAGAGGACACAGAGACAUGGAGAAAAGAGCAAUUAUGAAGACAGAGGCAGAGAUUCAAGGGACGUGUCUACAAGGAUAAGGAACUACAGGAAUUGCCACCCAAUACUAGAAGCUAGGGGAGAUAUGGAACAAUUUCCCCCUCACGGAAGGAACCAGCCCUGCGGUUCCUUCCGUGAGGGGGACUGCUACCCUCUUAAACUGUGAAUCAGUUUCCAAUAUUUUAAGCCACCCGCUGUAUGGCAAUCUACUGUGGCAACCCUAGGAAAAUAAUAUAAGACUUUUUGCCACAGAGGAGACUAGCAAUAAAGUAUAGGAGGAUAUAUUUAUUUAUUCACUCUUAUUCACUGUUUAUACUGAUUGUCAGAUAUGUCAACAAGGGUUAUGACAAACACACAUGAUGCAAAUAUGGGCUCCUCUUCCAAAGACUACAAGGUGAAAAGUACAGGUGUAAUAGAAAAGUAUUAAUCAAUCACAAUAAUAAUAAUAAUAAUAGUCUCAUUCAUGUACUAAGUACUCCUAUACCAGGCACUGUAAGAGAUGGGUUUACAUGCAUUAUUUAAUAGCCAGAAGGUAGAUAUAACUCAUUACAUUUAACAGGUAAGGAAACUGAAGCAUAGGGUUCUUUUGUGGUGCAGUGGGUUAAGGCUCUGGCAUUGUCACAGCAACAGCUCAGAGAGCUGCUGUGGCACAGGUUCAAUUCCUGGCCCAGGAACUUUCUCAUGCCAUGGGCACAGCAAAAAAUAAAUAAAUAAAAAUUUAAAAAAAUAAAAAAGAAACUGAAGCAUGAUGAAGUUAAUUACCUUCUUCAAGACUGUACAUUUCUGCCAAUGAUAGGGCUGGAUCGCAAUUUCCAGUGAAAGGAUAAAGGAAGGAACUCUGAUCUGGGUCUUGAGUGAUGAGCAAUGUUGGGCACUGAUAAAUGGAGGGCAAGGGCCAUAUAGGCGAGAGUAACAGGGAACUUAAAGACAGAAAAACAGAGAAUGGGCUUUUGUUGGUAAUAGAGCGCUCUGAUUUGUUGGAAUGUGUAGUCCACCAAAAAGGAAACAUGGGAAAUUGAUUUGGAAUGGCAGAUUCAGACCAGUUUGAACAAUGAGCAAAUGUCAGGAAGAACUGCAAAAUGAUUCCUUAAAGAGAUUGAAAUUCAGAAUGAUUGAGCUAAGGUGAGUAGAAUGACAUG